CAGGAAGUAGUUUAGUUGAAAAUACCAGCUUUGGGAGCUGGCGAUAAAGGUUUGAUUCCUUUCUUUCUGA
Molecule: transfer RNA, 70 nt
Filed under: Motacilla lugens
Lineage: Eukaryota; Metazoa; Chordata; Aves; Passeriformes; Motacillidae
Description: tRNA-Pro
Rfam family: tRNA
About the family: Transfer RNA (tRNA) molecules are approximately 80 nucleotides in length. Their secondary structure includes four short double-helical elements and three loops (D, anti-codon, and T loops). Further hydrogen bonds mediate the characteristic L-shaped molecular structure. tRNAs have two regions of fundamental functional importance: the anti-codon, which is responsible for specific mRNA codon recognition, and the 3' end, to which the tRNAs corresponding amino acid is attached (by aminoacyl-tRNA synthetases). tRNAs cope with the degeneracy of the genetic code in two manners: having more than one tRNA (with a specific anti-codon) for a particular amino acid; and 'wobble' base-pairing, i.e. permitting non-standard base-pairing at the 3rd anti-codon position.
Source: RNAcentral